CCUCUGGACUCCAUCUGAAAGAACGCACCGAACCUAAGUUCUGAUCCUUGGGAAGGAUCAGUCAAACCUACGUAACCAGGCUUACCAAGCUUACCAGGCCCAGAACCUUAUCUCCUCCAGUGAACCAUCCACACCUACGACUCAUAUCCUCAGUACCAAGGACUCCCCUUCGCCUGGUGGCGCUACCGAAACUCCGCUGUCUCAACAAUUACUUCCUGGACGUGACGUAACUUCCCCUAAUCCGGAGACAUUUUCUGGAGAAAUCAGAGACUGUGGAGGGUUUCUGCUAAGGUUCAGCUGUUUCACCUAACAUCCCGGUUAUAGACCAUAAGGGGGAGGAGCCUUCAGAUCUCACUCAAGUUCCCUCUGAAUAUCAUGACCUGAAAAUUGUUUUCAGCAAAUCCAGGGCCCUCUCUCUCCCUCCUCACCGGCCCUAUGACUGUGCAAUUGAUCUUCUUCCUGGAGCACCUUUACCAUCAAGUCGGCUAUAAAAUAUUUCUCACCCUGAACAGAUUACCAUGGAGAAAUAUAUUUCUGAGUCUCUGGCAGCUGGAAUCAUCCGCCCAUCAUCCUCUCAACUUGGUGCUGGUUUUUUCUUUGUCGGCAAAAAGGAUGGAUCAUUACACCCAUGUAUUAAUUACCGUGGACUUAAUCAAAUCACAGUUAAGAAUAAACAUCCCUUACCAUUACUCUCAUCUGCUUUUGAACCAGUCCAAUUGUGUUCAAUGGACUUUGUUAAGUUGGACUUACGAAAUGCUUACCACCUCGUCCGGAUUCGCAAGGAAGACAAGUGGAAGACAGCACUAAUGAUGCCCCUAGGGCAUUUUGAAUAUUUGGUUGUGUCAUUUGGACUUAGCAAUGCGCCUGCAGUGUUUCAGGCGUUAGUGAACAAUGUGCUGAGAGAUUUUUUGAAUAUAUUUGUUUUUGUUUACUUAGAUGACAUUUUCAUUUAUUCUAAGAACAUCAUCGAACAUCGCCACCAUGUCCGUCAAGUUCUGCAACGUCUCUUGGAAAAUCGGCUUUUCAUUAAAGCAGAAAAAUGCAAGUUCCGUAAGAGUUCAGUCACCUUCCUGGAGUUCAUUCUAGAGGGUGGACAGGUUCGCUCAGAUCCGGACAAAAUCAAAGCAGUCCUGGAAUGGCCACUCCCAGAUUCACGCAAACAGCUCCAGAGAUUCCUUUGAUUUGCAAAUUUCUACCGGAGAUUUAUCCGCAACUACUGUUAUGAUUUGGUGUUUGUUUGGUUUCGGGGUUUUUCUUUAUGUUUUUCACAGUUAAG
Girardinichthys multiradiatus is the source of this 1276-nucleotide long non-coding RNA. RefSeq lists it as uncharacterized. The record is from RefSeq and is a predicted model, not a curated record. The transcript has 3 exons. NCBI's taxonomy places the organism in Eukaryota, Metazoa, Chordata, Actinopteri, Cyprinodontiformes, Goodeidae.